RNAcentral lists this ribosomal RNA (253 nucleotides) under uncultured bacterium. RNAcentral's name for it is "partial 16S ribosomal RNA". It matches the Rfam family "Bacterial small subunit ribosomal RNA", at positions 524 to 776 of the family's 1533-position model. The record is from RNAcentral.
UACGGGGGGGGCAAGCGUUGUUCGGAAUUACUGGGCGUAAAGGGUUCGUAGGUGGCUUGUUAAGUCAGACGUGAAAUCCCUCGGCUCAACCGGGGAACUGCGUCUGAGACUGAUGAGCUCGAGUGCAGGAGAGGAACGCGGAAUUCCAGGUGUAGCGGUGAAAUGCGUAGAUAUUGGGAGGAACACCAGUGGCGAAGGCGGCUCACUGGAUCGGAACUGACGCUGAUGCGCGAAAGCGUGGGGAGCAAACGGG